GCUUUAUGCUCAACAGGGCAUGUGCUGCCCUAGAAAUGACCUUGAACCAAUAACCACCACCAUGGCACAUAUGUAUCUUUUCCAUCAUGAAUCUCAGCAAUAUGUUUGUAUACUGACGGAGUGACUGAGUAUAGAGACUGAGUGUACUGCUGAUUCAUUUGGGGAUUUUUUUUUUUUUUUUUUUUUAAUUUAACCCUAAGAAGUCAAGAGUUGCUUCUCUUUGUCUGUACUUUUCAAAUAUGACACAUUCAGUUAAAUAGCAAGUUCUGCAAAGAAUUUAAUGUUCAGCAUCUACAGGGACAGGUUAAUGUCAACUUUCUGCUUUUUGUUGCCAAAACGUAAAGGACGUUCUUCUUUUUGCAAAUGAGAGUCACCCCUAAUUAAAUUCAUUAAUUUUGAAGAUUUUCUUCCACUCACAAACACAAACAUUGUCUCAUUUGAGACUUCAGAACCUGUUCUUUGGGCAGAAUCUCUCUGCUAGAGUAAGAAAUGAAUACUAUUGAAUUACACCGCUGUUUGUUGUCAAUCAUGACUUCUGAGGGCUAAAGCACUGUUUCUUUUAGCUCAGUGUAAAAGUUUGAAGCUUACUUUUAUUUCAAAAAACUGCUAGAAAUGUAUUGUUUCCUUCAGAGGGCCACCCGAUCACUGUACAACACGUUUUUAUAUGGUGUUCAACUUUGAUCUGCGUUCCCCAUUUCUUAAGGCAAACAUGGGAACAAUGAAAUCGUUGCCUUCCUUUUGUUCAUUUCUAGGGCUGCAUUUAGUUUUCUGUUGUCAGAUUUAACUUUAAGUCUACACAGGACUUUUUAGCAGUACACCUGCUUUUUCCAAAGUUUCUGCAGCACUAGCUCCUGUUUAAUGAUUUACUCGGAUCAAUAUGAGACUUGCUAUCACACGUUGCGUAGCUGAAACUAAACAGUGCUGUCUUUGAUAGCACAUGGCUCUUCUGUUUCACUCUUUUUACCCAAACAUUGUCAUUUUCUUUUGAGUUUUUUCAAUAUGUAUUUCUUCAUAGAUCUUAUACUCCGAUCCAGUUUUACAAAUGUAUUUUACAUGUUGAUGUACUUGCCACAUACUGUUGUUUGCUAAAUUUGGUGCAAUGAAAGUGAACACACCUGAAUUCGUUUUUCUUAACCUUCAAACAUAACAUGGAUACACGUAUGGAAAUGCGUUUCAUCAUUUUGAUGCUGGUACUCAGUAGUUGAUGGAGUGAUUUCUAUUCAGCAAGGGCACUAGUGUGAGAUCAGGACUGCAGUGUCCGCUCCAUUGCCACUCCUCAAAGCUGCAGUCUAAUGCGUCAAACAAAAGAGAUCAUCUGGACUGUGCCUUCAGGUCAAGCUCCCAACCUGGAAAUUCCCAUUUUCGAUUGUGAAAAUUUGUCAGAAGAGGCAAAUCAGGAGAAAAAUCAUCUGCCGUAAGCCCAGCUUUAGGGUUUCAGUAUCAGUAACUGUACUGGACAAUGAAGUUGUAACUUGUCAUCUCUUAUGGUCACACUCCAACUUCAUAGCAUCCCCUCCACCUCCACCACCACCAACCCCACCGCCUCCCAAAAUAUUCACCUACAGUAAUAACAAAAGGACAGUUGGUGUCCCUAAAAACCUCUCCCAUAUGGCUGGGUGGAGCAAGUGCGAGGGCUGAACAUGUCCAGGAGAGGGGAGUCAGCUGCUGCAGCUGUAUAGAAGCAUGAAGACAGCAUGGAUUUAGAACAUAUACAUGUCCGCACAGUCAUGUUUUUAGCUCUUUGUGAAGACUUAAUGUCCUGGAAAUGAUGGAAAGCAAGGACAUAUUGACAUUGUGAAGACUGUGAUUAUUCUUACUACCAAUUUGAGAAAAUAAAAGCCGAACAAUUUCCUUUGGGUUC
This is a long non-coding RNA of Pygocentrus nattereri (red-bellied piranha), 1861 nucleotides long. RefSeq lists it as uncharacterized. The record is from RefSeq and is a predicted model, not a curated record. The transcript has 2 exons. Lineage: Eukaryota; Metazoa; Chordata; Actinopteri; Characiformes; Serrasalmidae.